RNAcentral lists this ribosomal RNA (253 nucleotides) under uncultured bacterium. RNAcentral's name for it is "partial 16S ribosomal RNA". It matches the Rfam family "Bacterial small subunit ribosomal RNA", at positions 524 to 776 of the family's 1533-position model. The record is from RNAcentral.
UACAGAGGGGGCGAGCGUUGUUCGGAAUUACUGGGCGUAAAGGGCGCGUAGGCGGUUUCGUAAGUCCUGUGUGAAAUCCCCCGGCUCAACUGGGGAACUGCACAGGAAACUGCGAGGCUUGAGUUCGGGAGAGGGAAGCGGAAUUCCGGGUGUAGCGGUGAAAUGCGUAGAUAUCCGGAGGAACACCGGUGGCGAAGGCGGCUUCCUGGACCGACACUGACGCUGAGGCGCGAAAGCCAGGGGAGCAAACGGG